UAUAAAUGGUUAGUCAGCACACGCAACAAGGGGAAGACAAGGGUGGUUAAUUGUCCACAGAAAGGAAACAGAGGUCUGAUAGAGGGACGGCCUAUGAUCAUCAAACUUGUGUGUGUGUUAGCAGCGAACAGUCUACUAGUUUUCUUCUGUGGUGUUUGACAAGUAAAAAUGAUAAUUCUAUCAGUGAUCAACUUUCUCCUGUUAGUGUCUGAUGCAACAGGGAUUACUCGGGUCAACACUACUGUCGGGAAAUCAACAAUACUUCCGUGUUUGAUGAACAACACUAUUACUAAUUUAAGUAAUCUACGAUUUUACUGGCAAGAUAACAGAAAGGCUGUUUUAUACUCUUUUAAUAAAGGAAAAGAGAUGCCAAAACAUGUGGACACACUAUAUCGAGACAGGAUCAAAGUUUUCCAUCAGGACAUGAUAAGAGGAAAUGUCUCAGUCAAACUUACAAACACAACACUCGAAGAUGACCAAAAGGUUUUCCAUGUUUAUGCACAAGUUUUUGAAAGCCGAGGGACUAUGAGCGAAGGUGAAAACAAUCAAAUCUGCCAAAUGACUUUACAUGUUGCAGCUCCAUACGAGGAUAUCAGCCUGGCUGUAUAUGAUAAGGUGACUGCAGUCUGCACUGCACAAAAAGGAUUCCCUGAGUCGUCGGUAAGCUGGAGACUUCAGCAGCUCAACAAAUCCCAACACUUUUUAGCCUCGAGUGACGUCCAAACUACAGCAGAGCAGGACCCUAAAGAUCAUCUCUACCGUCUCAGAAGCACCAUACAGAUUCAUGGAGGUCCAUAUCUAUCUGCAACGUGCCUCAUCCACAACCCUACCCUCAAUGCGACUCAGAGCCACAACUACACUUUAAACCACAGUGGAGCAGAGAGGGGCCCCCCUGCCUUGACUGCAGUGCUAAUGAUGGCUGCUGUUCUCCUCUGGAUCUGAAUUUUAUGAAGCUCCUCAAAUGUGACUUUUCUUUUUAAUUCCAGGGCAUUUCAUUUAUCAGAUAUCAAACAUGAGAGAAAUGACAUCAUUAUGAAUGUUCUGUCUUUUCUUUCUUGUAGAAAUGAAAGGAUGUGUUGGGUGAAAAACGUCUGCAGCACUUUUUACAUUUCACAACAUCUUUUACCUAUUUCCCAUCUAAUGAAAUGUUUCUGAAUUCCAUAAAUCAUGAAUCACACUGUGAACUUGGUAUAAACCAGCUUAAUAAUAAUAGCUCAAUAUAGCAUAUAUUUGUUUUCACAACAUUAUCAAGAUAUAAGUGUGAUUGUGAAUUUCUCCUAAAUGCUGUUUAAAAAGGAAAAGGAGAAGUGUCCUUGGGGAAGUUACUGAACCCCAGAUUGCUCCCGUGGGCAUGUCUACCAUAUUAAAGUAAAUGCAAGCCACUUUGGAUAAGUGUCAGCUUGAAGUUGUUAUCUUAACUUUUCUUAAUGACCAUUUACCUCUUUUAUGUAUUUGUUAUUUGUUCUUUUUAUGUUUUGUUUUGUUUGUUAUUUAAUAACAAAGUUAUUUUGGAUGGUGGAUGUAAAAAUAUAGUAAAAGAAUAAUAUCUAUAUAUACAGCCGCCGAAAAAAACAGGAGACCACUUCAGCAUUAUCACUUUCUCUUGUUUUAUUAUUUAUAUGUUCUUUGAGUUAAAUUAUUUUUAAAUUUUAUUCUAUAAACUACUGGCAACUUUGCCACAGUUUCUUCGAAAAAGUAAUUUGUUUACUGUUCAUUCCUUUAAAAAGUAACUUAGUUACUUUAGUGAUUACUUGAUUUUAACAAUAACUAAGUUAGAUUACAAGUUACUUUAUUACUAACCUUAAUGUUGUCAUCUUUAGCUGACACAAACUCAAAAUAGUGCCUGUAUUUCCAGCUAGAAAACCCGCAUCUCUCCUCCCUCCAUUGUUGUUUACGUUUGUGUCGCUGCGUGGUAUUACACGUGAGGUGUCCUCGUGCUGAAAACGUGACUUAAUUGUUGCAUAGACGUCACUCCCCGAGACGCAAGAAGAAAGCAAAAAUAAAUCUUUUUACUAAGGAAAAUGACAAAAAUAGUAACUCACAGUGACUUGGAUAAGUAACUUUAAUCUGAUUACUGGUUUGGAAAUAGUAACGCGUUAGAUUACUCGUUACUAAAUCGGUAACGAGUUACUUAGUAGCGCGUUUACCGACAUUACUGUUCAACACACACUGUAAUGGCUGCCAUACAUGUAGAGAUAAAGAUUUAAGAACAGAUUGGAGUGGUCUCUUAAUUUUUUCCGCGGCUGUAGGCUAUAUAUAUUGUAGUAAUAAUGAUAUCAUCUAUUUAUAAUUGGAAAUGUAUAAUUUAUGUAGACAUACAUUUAGAUGAACAUUUUGUUAAAGAAUAAAACAAGCGUAAAUAAUUUGGUUUUUGGAAGAAGGGAUGGGAUUAAACAAGUUUAAUCUUCUUCCCACCCCUUUUCGGAUGUGUAAUCAGGUAGAUCAAUUUAUAUCAUUUGUAAAUAAUAUUUUUUGUUUUUCAAUUUGAUACGGCUUAAGUUUGAACAUUAUCAUAAUUUUCUUGUUUCAUUUCAUUAUUUUAAUACUUUUUUUGUAUUAUUGUUUUACACGUUAAAAAUAAAUCAAAUCAAAUCGAAA
Eleginops maclovinus (Patagonian blennie) is the source of this 2598-nucleotide long non-coding RNA. RefSeq lists it as uncharacterized. NCBI's taxonomy places the organism in Eukaryota, Metazoa, Chordata, Actinopteri, Perciformes, Eleginopidae. The transcript is spliced from 4 exons. The record is from RefSeq and is a predicted model, not a curated record.